GGGGGGGGGGGGGGGGGGGGGGGGCGCGGGCGAGGCGGGCGGCGGCGCGGGCUGCGGCCUGGCGGCGAGUGGCGAACGGGGGAGUAAUGCAUCGGAACGUGCCCAGUAGUGGGGGAUAGCCCGGCGAAAGCCGGAUUAAUACCGCAUACGACCUGAGGGUGAAAGCGGGGGACCGAAAGGCCUCGCGCUAUUGGAGCGGCCGAUGUCGGAUUAGCUAGUUGGUGGGGUAAAGGCUUACCAAGGCGACGAUCCGUAGCUGGUCUGAGAGGACGACCAGCCACACUGGGACUGAGACACGGCCCAGACUCCUACGGGAGGCAGCAGUGGGGAAUUUUGGACAAUGGGGGCAACCCUGAUCCAGCCAUGCCGCGUGCGGGAAGAAGGCCUUCGGGUUGUAAACCGCUUUUGUUCGGGAAGAAAUCCUCUGGGCUAAUACCCCGGGGGGAUGACGGUACCGGAAGAAUAAGCACCGGCUAACUACGUG
Molecule: ribosomal RNA, 484 nt
Filed under: uncultured bacterium
Lineage: Bacteria
Description: partial 16S ribosomal RNA
Rfam family: Bacterial small subunit ribosomal RNA
Source: RNAcentral